Molecule: ribosomal RNA, 2923 nt
Filed under: Klebsiella pneumoniae
Lineage: Bacteria; Pseudomonadati; Pseudomonadota; Gammaproteobacteria; Enterobacterales; Enterobacteriaceae
Description: 23S ribosomal RNA
Rfam family: Bacterial large subunit ribosomal RNA
Source: RNAcentral
GGGUUGUGAGGUUAAGCGACUAAGCGUACACGGUGGAUGCCCUGGCAGUCAGAGGCGAUGAAGGACGUGCUAAUCUGCGAAAAGCGUCGGUAAGGUGAUAUGAACCGUUACAGCCGGCGAUGUCCGAAUGGGGAAACCCAGUGCAAUUCGUUGCACUAUCGUUAACUGAAUACAUAGGUUAACGAGGCGAACCGGGGGAACUGAAACAUCUAAGUACCCCGAGGAAAAGAAAUCAACCGAGAUUCCCCCAGUAGCGGCGAGCGAACGGGGAGCAGCCCAGAGUCUGAAUCAGCUUGUGUGUUAGUGGAACGGUCUGGAAAGUCCGACGGUACAGGGUGAUAGUCCCGUACACCAAAAUGCACAGGCUGUGAACUCGAAGAGUAGGGCGGGACACGUGGUAUCCUGUCUGAAUAUGGGGGGACCAUCCUCCAAGGCUAAAUACUCCUGACUGACCGAUAGUGAACCAGUACCGUGAGGGAAAGGCGAAAAGAACCCCGGCGAGGGGAGUGAAAAAGAACCUGAAACCGUGUACGUACAAGCAGUGGGAGCACCUUCGGGUGUGACUGCGUACCUUUUGUAUAAUGGGUCAGCGACUUAUAUUCUGUAGCAAGGUUAACCGUAUAGGGGAGCCGCAGGGAAACCGAGUCUUAACUGGGCGUUAAGUUGCAGGGUAUAGACCCGAAACCCGGUGAUCUAGCCAUGGGCAGGUUGAAGGUUGGGUAACACUAACUGGAGGACCGAACCGACUAAUGUUGAAAAAUUAGCGGAUGACUUGUGGCUGGGGGUGAAAGGCCAAUCAAACCGGGAGAUAGCUGGUUCUCCCCGAAAGCUAUUUAGGUAGCGCCUCGUGAACUCAUCUUCGGGGGUAGAGCACUGUUUCGGCUAGGGGGUCAUCCCGACUUACCAACCCGAUGCAAACUACGAAUACCGAAGAAUGUUAUCACGGGAGACACACGGCGGGUGCUAACGUCCGUCGUGAAGAGGGAAACAACCCAGACCGCCAGCUAAGGUCCCAAAGUCAUGGUUAAGUGGGAAACGAUGUGGGAAGGCACAGACAGCCAGGAUGUUGGCUUAGAAGCAGCCAUCAUUUAAAGAAAGCGUAAUAGCUCACUGGUCGAGUCGGCCUGCGCGGAAGAUGUAACGGGGCUAAACCAUGCACCGAAGCUGCGGCAGCGACACUAUGUGUUGUUGGGUAGGGGAGCGUUCUGUAAGCCUGCGAAGGUGACCUGUGAGGGUUGCUGGAGGUAUCAGAAGUGCGAAUGCUGACAUAAGUAACGAUAAAGCGGGUGAAAAGCCCGCUCGCCGGAAGACCAAGGGUUCCUGUCCAACGUUAAUCGGGGCAGGGUGAGUCGACCCCUAAGGCGAGGCCGAAAGGCGUAGUCGAUGGGAAACAGGUUAAUAUUCCUGUACUUGGUGUUACUGCGAAGGGGGGACGGAGAAGGCUAUGUUAGCCGGGCGACGGUUGUCCCGGUUUAAGCAUGUAGGCUGAUUAUCCAGGCAAAUCCGGAUAAUCAAGGCUGAGGUGUGAUGACGAGGCACUACGGUGCUGAAGUAACAAAUGCCCUGCUUCCAGGAAAAGCCUCUAAGCAUCAGGUAACAUCAAAUCGUACCCCAAACCGACACAGGUGGUCAGGUAGAGAAUACCAAGGCGCUUGAGAGAACUCGGGUGAAGGAACUAGGCAAAAUGGUGCCGUAACUUCGGGAGAAGGCACGCUGGUGUGUAGGUGAAGUCCCUGCGGAUGGAGCUGAGACCAGUCGAAGAUACCAGCUGGCUGCAACUGUUUAUUAAAAACACAGCACUGUGCAAACACGAAAGUGGACGUAUACGGUGUGACGCCUGCCCGGUGCCGGAAGGUUAAUUGAUGGGGUUAUCCGUAAGGAGAAGCUCUUGAUCGAAGCCCCGGUAAACGGCGGCCGUAACUAUAACGGUCCUAAGGUAGCGAAAUUCCUUGUCGGGUAAGUUCCGACCUGCACGAAUGGCGUAAUGAUGGCCAGGCUGUCUCCACCCGAGACUCAGUGAAAUUGAACUCGCUGUGAAGAUGCAGUGUACCCGCGGCAAGACGGAAAGACCCCGUGAACCUUUACUAUAGCUUGACACUGAACAUUGAGCCUUGAUGUGUAGGAUAGGUGGGAGGCUUUGAAGCGUGGACGCCAGUCUGCGUGGAGCCAACCUUGAAAUACCACCCUUUAAUGUUUGAUGUUCUAACGUUGGCCCCUGACCGGGGUUGCGGACAGUGUCUGGUGGGUAGUUUGACUGGGGCGGUCUCCUCCCAAAGCGUAACGGAGGAGCACGAAGGUUAGCUAAUCCUGGUCGGACAUCAGGAGGUUAGUGCAAUGGCAUAAGCUAGCUUGACUGCGAGCGUGACGGCGCGAGCAGGUGCGAAAGCAGGUCAUAGUGAUCCGGUGGUUCUGAAUGGAAGGGCCAUCGCUCAACGGAUAAAAGGUACUCCGGGGAUAACAGGCUGAUACCGCCCAAGAGUUCAUAUCGACGGCGGUGUUUGGCACCUCGAUGUCGGCUCAUCACAUCCUGGGGCUGAAGUAGGUCCCAAGGGUAUGGCUGUUCGCCAUUUAAAGUGGUACGCGAGCUGGGUUUAGAACGUCGUGAGACAGUUCGGUCCCUAUCUGCCGUGGGCGCUGGAGAAUUGAGGGGGGCUGCUCCUAGUACGAGAGGACCGGAGUGGACGCAUCACUGGUGUUCGGGUUGUCAUGCCAAUGGCACUGCCCGGUAGCUAAAUGCGGAAGAGAUAAGUGCUGAAAGCAUCUAAGCACGAAACUUGCCCCGAGAUGAGUUCUCCCUGAGACUUUAAGUCUCCUGAAGGAACGUUAAAGACGAUGACGUUGAUAGGCCGGGUGUGUAAGCGCAGCGAUGCGUUGAGCUAACCGGUACUAAUGAACCGUGAGGCUUAACCUUACAACGCCGAAG